GAUCAAGUCUCUCAGGGCUGUCACAUUAUGAGGUUAUGCUAGUUACGCUGUCAGCUUGAUCCAAAAUGGAGUCAUCUGGCAAAAGGGAACCUCAGUUAUGAAAUCUCCUUCAUCAAGUUGACCCGGGACCAUGUUUGGGGGGGCAUCUUGUUGUUUAACUAUUGAUGUGAAAGCACCUAGUAGGGUAUGGGCAGUGCUACUCCUGGGAAAGUGGUCCUGAGAAGGCCUCAAGGAAUACACAGGGCUUUGAGACCAUCAACCGCUUGGCGAUGCUGACCUAAGUACAAACAGUUCUCUGGCACCACGUGGUUAUAUACAAAUGACAUCCUGGGUGGAUCCUCAGAAGAAUGCUUGUACCAUCCACCGCAGUUCAGCCUCCUUUGAUUUCGCACUCAGCGCUAUGAGUUUUCCUCUUAGCACAGCUUUCAUUGUGAUCGGACAUGUUUCUAAGUCACAUCCUACUCACAGAAGAACAUCACUUGUAUUCCCAGAGCAAAGGUCUGCCUAUGCUUUAAUUGUCGUAUGGGUCUUCGAUGUUCUGUUCCAUCUCGUCUACCAUAAAUUUGUCCUCCGUAUCCUGAAGGAUAUAAGAAUUACUGAUACAUGCUUUGUUUGGCUCCAAUGCAGAGGAUGAGAAUGGCAACUCCUGUCAUGUUUUGGAUCUUUAAUGUCCCUAUAGACCCUUAUGGGAAAGCUUUAUUCUCCAGGCUGUGACACUCAUAGCAGAUGAUAGACCCUUUAAGAGGUAAAACCUGGUUUAAAUCGACCAAAGGGAUAUACUCCUGGAAGAGAUAGUAGGAAUGGAGCCUUGAUCAAUCAUACACACUCUCUCUCCUCUCUCUGUCCCUCCAUUUUUCCUUACUAUUUUUAGAAAGAUGAGCAGGUUUUCCACCAGCUAUUCACCCACAUGAGGACUCUGCUGAAGAGGAGGAACCCACUGAUCACAGAAUGAAGUUUUUAGCAUUGUGACCCAAAAUAAAUCUUACCUCCUUAAGUAGAUUGUUUCAACGAUUUUGUUUCAGUAACAGAAAGCUGACUAAUGUAACUUUCAGCUGCAUCAUGUUUUGAAUUACUGAAAAGGAAACUUUAAGUUUCUUCAGGCAUUCAAUAUCUUCAUCUAUAAAAUAAAGAUAAUAAUAACCUAGAAUGGUGGGUGGUGUAAAUAAAUUCUGUGCAAUGAAAUUAUUGGAACAGAGCAUGACAUGUACUAAGUGAUAAUAAAUAUUAAGAGAUCUGAA
RNAcentral lists this small RNA (1238 nucleotides) under Rattus norvegicus (Norway rat). RNAcentral's name for it is "uncharacterized LOC102546489". Lineage: Eukaryota; Metazoa; Chordata; Mammalia; Rodentia; Muridae. The record is from RNAcentral.